Molecule: long non-coding RNA, 3923 nt
Organism: Spinacia oleracea (spinach)
Lineage: Eukaryota; Viridiplantae; Streptophyta; Magnoliopsida; Caryophyllales; Amaranthaceae
Exons: 2
Source: RefSeq, a predicted model, not a curated record
ACAAGCCAAAAUUUGUCUCAAUUUUUCCAACCAAAUCAGUUAUCAAAACUGAAAACAAUCACCACCAAAAACCGCUGUGAACAUCAUUGUUCCCUGCGACCACCACCAUCAACCACCCGCAUCGCCCGACCACCCAGAACCACCGCCACACCCACCGUUCCUCACCGUACUCCCCCUGCUCUCUCCUCGGUCUAACUCCCCUGUCCCUCUACCUUUCUUUGCCUCUUUGCACCACCACCGUCGCACAUCACCACUCUUCAGCCACCACCACUACCAUCUCUGUCCACCACCAAGAACCCCUCACAACCACCUCAACCACCGCAAACCCCACCACACACCCUCGUCUUUGCCCUCUUCCUCCUCCAGCGCACUCCCCUGCUCCCUCUUUCCCUUCCUCUGCCGCACCACCAACACCGCAGCCACCACACCCAGCCACCCUCCAUCGCAUAAUCGACCAACUCCCUCCACCCUCACCGCCGAGUCGUCCCCUCCUUUGCCCAAAACUGGCCGAAAAACCACCCACAAACUCCCCUGCGUUCCCCUCCGAUGUUCGACCCCCUCCUCUCGCCUCACUGCUCCACCGUGAACAGCCGCACAACCACCAACAUCACCGUCGCCUCUAGGCGCGGUUCUCGGUUCGGCGCCACCCAGCUACCCCCCUUCCUCCCUCCUCCUCUCUCCUCCUCUUCGUGUUCCUUCCCCUUCCCCUGUUUCGUGCCCUGCUCCCAGAAAACCAAAACCAAUUUUUGGUUUUGGUUGGUUUUUACUCUCCUUUAAAACCCACCAUUAAUUGGGCCAUUCUAAAUUGGGCUUUUGGUAAAAAACCAAUUUGCUAUUUCAGAUUUUGUAAUUUAUUAAUUUUUAUGUUUUAAUAAAUUUUUAUGAUAUAAUUAUUAUUAUUUACUAAUAAAUAGUUACUAUUUUUCAGGUUAAUUUUACGAAAAUAAGUUACUAGUUUUGUUUAUAAAAAUGGAAUUUAAAUAAUAUUUUCAUGAAAACCGAUUUUAUGAAAUAUAAAUAUAUAUAUAUUUCGAUUAAAAAUUCGAUUAAUAAUAAUAUUUUCGUUAGAUUUCGAAAUUAUGCUUUUUAUUAAAAUUCGUUAUUUAUAAAUCCGUUACUUAUAAAAUUUAUGAUUUAUAAAAUAUUGAUUUCAAAUUAUUUAUCGAUUUAGUACUAAUUCCAUAAUUUAUUAUUUUGGAAGAAAUUGGACUUGGAGCUCAGGACGAACGAACCACCGAAAAUCCUUACCAAAAUCGUGAAAGUUAGGUACUGCGGGGAUCGAUGGAAACGAGUAGAGGCGAGUAAUUUCACUUUAAUAAUAUUCACCUAGUUUAUGCUUAAAGUUAUAAUAGUUUAAUUAAAGACUUUUAGUAAUUUAUGUACUUGUAUUUUGGGAAUAUAAAGGAUUAUUAUAAUAAUUUGGGUUUUGAUAACUUAUGUUAUGAUAGUUGCCUUUUGAUUUCCAAGAGGGAAUUACGGAAGGUAAUGUCCCGACCAAGUUAGGUUAAUUCCGCUGCUAAUUAUGCUUUAAUAAUUGAAUUAGAGGUCGGGGCGUUACAGUUUUACUUUAAAUGGUACCAAUAGGUAGGUUAAUAGUGCUUUGUAUAACACAUAAUUUAAUAGUCUAACUAGUUUUUGGGUCCGGACGAUGCCCUAGGUUGCUACAUUAUUAAUAUUUACAUUUACUUAUUUAUUUUUGUUUUCACUGAUAACAUGAAACAUGUCAUGUCCUAGUGGUGAAGGCUUUAUUGUUUAAGCACAAAGUCGGGGGUCCAAACCUUAUGCAAAUCAUAUUUAACAUUUUUUCAUGUAUGUGAAGAUUGCAUGGAGUGAAUGACUCAUAAGCAGAGUGUCACGUGUCACAUAAACUUCCUUAUAAACGACUAUUAUUGUAUAGUAUAAGUAGCACAAAAUAGUGAGCCAAUGAUAUCAUUUUUUUAUACUUCGUAUGAAUCAUAUACAAUUUAAUUGUCUAAUCCUACCCCUUUAAAAAGCAAGGAGUGCCUUCUAAACUCCCCUUAAUUAAGAAUAGUGGAAUUACCCCCACACCCUUGAAUUCAUUCAUGAUUUACCUGCCCUGCCAUUCCCUUUUCCUUGCACGCAUGAUCGGCCAGCUGUCUGUUCCCACUUCCCUGCUUCAGAGCUUCCCUUCUUCUUUCAUUCACCCCUGGUUGUGUUUCAACAAACCCUAGCUCUGCUCAUCCGCCUCCCAUCUCCUCCGCCCCUAUUUUCUCUCUCUUACCAAUUCUUCUUUCUCUCACCUUCUCACUCCUUCUCUGCCGCUUUCAAAAUGCUUCCCAUAUCUUCUCUGCUACUGCUCUCUCUCCUGUUCAGGGCUUCAUCGCGGCAAAAACGGUGAGAUCUAUUACAAUCCUUCUAUUUCAAUUUUACAAUCGAGCAGCGAUUUUCUUCCUCAUAAUGUUGAUGCGAUGCUGGUUGUGGCGAUUCUCUAGAAAAUUUAGGCUCUAGCUAAUAGCUACGGCGGUGUUCAAAUUUUGAAUUCCUUUAGGCUCUAGCUAUGGAGAUAUUCAAAUUCCAAAGGUGAAUUUCAGAAUUCCUAACCAUUUUACAAUACUCUCGUCAAUUUUGUGUGCGUGCGUGAAAUCUAGGGUCUUAGUGUUUUUUUUUGUUUAUAUUGGAUUUACUAAAGCUUGGAACGGCUGACGAACGCGAGAUGGUAUGAAAUGUUACGUAUUUAGAGGGUUCCAUUUUCUGGAAAAUUUGUGCUCUAUUUAGUGAAUUUUGGUUCUGGUGAUUUGUUCAUGUUUUAUUGGUAUUUCUUAUGGAGUCAAAUCACCUAUUUUUAGUAAUAUUGAUAAAUUCGUCCCUCAAUAAUAUGCAAUGCUUGAUUAGAAUGUACAAAGUGAGACACAAGUUGAAGCCUUUUUCUCUAAUGUCUGAUGAUUUACAGUUUGUAGCUUCGCAAUUUCGUAUAAUUCACAGUAAGAUAUGGCACAUUUGGGCUACAUCUUUAUAGAUUAUAAACUUUUAUUGUGAGAGUUGUACACCAAUGCGUAGUGGAUUUUAGGGCACUUCUUCUUUUUUUAAAAAAACAAAAAAUAGUGGAAUUAGGGGUACUUAGCAAAUAUUUAGUAAUUAAUGGUUUAUCGUAUAACUGAAAUCGAUUUGUUUCUGUGAUAUGGUUGAAACACUAAAAAUAUGGUCUUGUUUUGUGUAAAUCACGUAAUAUUAUGUUAGAAAUAAUUGAAAAACAGUGACCGACUAAUGUACGUUAGAAGAUGAACUGUAGCUAGAUUGAUCAAUAUAUGUGUGUUAAAUAUUGUGAACUUCUAUCUAGAAUAAUCACUAGAGAAUCCCCUCGUCAAUAUUCAUUAUCUAGACUAAUGAGCUUCCUUUUAUUUUAGUUUCUUACCGGUAAUCUGACUGGAUGGGGGAAAGCAUAACAAAGUUGUUGGUGAUGGAGCACUGAGUGGAUGCUCAGUAGAAUAGGGGUUCCUUCUCACUUGGAGGAGACCAACCUCGGGAGAUUUAUAUCGCAUGGCAACAACCUCUACUCGUUUAAAGAAAUCUGGAACCUUUUAGGUGCUGCUACUUCUGAAUUUUAAAACUCAACCCGAGAACCGAAGAUUGGAUCAAAGACCUAAUCUGCACCCCCCCCCCCCCCCCUUGUAGUAGCUAUUGAAUAUGCACAUCAUGCAUCUUAUUUUUCCAAUCUAUGUUUUGUUAUCACCAAAUACUCCUUGGUCUUGUGGUAAGAGCUUUGCUUUUUGACUGAUAGUUCACAGAGUUGAUUCCCACUAGGAGCUGCUGGGGUCGGUUUCAUGGUUUUGAGACUCAGAGUUUGAUGGUUCUCCUUUGGUUUUUCCUAGAAGCUCAAGUAAGUGGUUGUAUUGAUCCACAUAUAUCAUAUCAGUGGUGUAGUACGUCACGUUCUCUUCUUGAACAUCACCAUGAUUUUCUAA